Molecule: ribosomal RNA, 249 nt
Filed under: uncultured bacterium
Lineage: Bacteria
Description: partial 16S ribosomal RNA
Rfam family: Bacterial small subunit ribosomal RNA
Source: RNAcentral
AUUGCUCAAUGGGAGAAAUCCUGAAGCAGCAACGCCGCGUGGAGGAUGAAGGGUCUAUGACUUGUAAACUCCUGUAAAGAAGGAAAAAAUUCCCAUUAGAUGGGAGAUGAUGGUACUUCUGGAGUAAGCCCCGGCUAACUACGUGCCAGCAGCCGCGGUAAUACGUAGGGGGCAAGCGUUGUCCGGAUUUACUGGGUGUAAAGGGUGCUCAGGCGGAUUUGUAAGUCAGAGGUGAAAUCUUACAGCUUA